CCCUUAGAUGUCCUGGGCUGCACGCGCGCUACACUGAUGUGUCCAGUAAGCACCUAACCUAUUCCGAGAGGAGCGGGUAACCUUAGCAAAGCACAUCGUGAUGGGGAUAGAUUAUUGCAAUUAUUAGUCUUGAACGAGGAAUUCCUAGUAAGCACAAGUCAUCAGCUUGUGUUGAUUACGUCCCUGCCCUUUGUACACACCGCCCGUCGCUCCUACCGAUUGGAUGUUCCGGUGAGCUCUUCGGACUGCGCGGUCUGCAGUUUCUGCGUUCCGUGCGGAAAGUUGUGCAAACCUUAACAUUUAGAGGAAGGAGAAGUCGUAACA
Molecule: ribosomal RNA, 324 nt
Filed under: uncultured eukaryote
Lineage: Eukaryota
Description: partial 18S ribosomal RNA
Rfam family: Eukaryotic small subunit ribosomal RNA
Source: RNAcentral